Molecule: ribosomal RNA, 430 nt
Filed under: Acidobacteriota bacterium
Lineage: Bacteria; Pseudomonadati; Acidobacteriota
Description: Acidobacteria bacterium partial 16S ribosomal RNA
Rfam family: Bacterial small subunit ribosomal RNA
Source: RNAcentral
UGGGGAAUAUUGGACAAUGGGGGGAACCCUGAUCCAGCCAUGCCGCGUGUGUGAAGAAGGCCUUUUGGUUGUAAAGCACUUUAAGCGAGGAGGAGGCUACCGAGAUUAAUACUCUUGGAUAGUGGACGUUACUCGCAGAAUAAGCACCGGCUAACUCUGUGCCAGCAGCCGCGGUAAUACAGAGGGUGCAAGCGUUAAUCGGAUUUACUGGGCGUAAAGCGCGCGUAGGUGGCCAAUUAAGUCAAAUGUGAAAUCCCCGAGCUUAACUUGGGAAUUGCAUUCGAUACUGGUUGGCUAGAGUAUGGGAGAGGAUGGUAGAAUUCCAGGUGUAGCGGUGAAAUGCGUAGAGAUCUGGAGGAAUACCGAUUGCGAAGGCAGCCAUCUGGCCUAAUACUGACACUGAGGUGCGAAAGCAUGGGGAGCAAACAGG